CCAGAGGAGUCAGAUAUAAUCAGAUGUUCUGUUUCCAUUUACAGAGCCCUGGAAAUGUUUGAGGCCGGUUGUCAUAAGUCACGGUUCCAGCCAGUGCUGUGCUGAGCCAUGUUGCAAAAGGAAGGCUGUGUACUACAUACUACAUAACUGGAUACAUGGUUUUAUGUAUUUUUUAAAAUGGUUACUGGAGGCUCACACCUGUAAUCCCAGCACUUUGGGAGGCUGAGAGGCAGGAGCUCACCAAGUUUUCUAGGCUAGUGUCAAACUCCUGGCCUUGUUACCAGCAGCAAAUCCUACAGGUCUGCAGCAACCUCAAUUCUCACCUCCUCAGAAGAAAUAAUUCGACUGAGAUGCAGAAGUCAGGAGACACUGAGGGAGAUAAAUUAGAAAACUGCAGUGAGGGGGAAGAGGAUUCAAGAUGGAGCCAUAAGAACAACUCAGGAUUGCAGCUCUCAGUGAACGUGCAGAGGGUGAGUCAAAGCCGCAUUUCCAGAUGGAUCUUUAUUGCCCACAGAACGGGGAAAUUCCCAGGUGUAGGAGAGACACAGGACACCAGUGCAGCUGUUUUGGCUGAUGCGGCCGCUUUGGCUGGUGCCUCAGUGCAGCAGCACUCCGCAACACUCCGCACAAAACGC
RNAcentral lists this long non-coding RNA (635 nucleotides) under Callithrix jacchus (white-tufted-ear marmoset). RNAcentral describes it as "lncRNA (ENSCJAG00000077750.1)". The record is from RNAcentral. Lineage: Eukaryota; Metazoa; Chordata; Mammalia; Primates; Cebidae.